CNCAANGCUAGCUACAGGCUUAACACAUGCAAGUCGAGGGGCAGCAUGAGAUUAGCUUGCUAAUCUUGAUGGCGACCGGCGCACGGGUGAGUAACGCGUAUCCAACCUUCCCCUUAGUAGGGCAUAGCCCGGCGAAAGUCGGAUUAAUACCCUAUGUCAUCCGAAGAGGACAUCUGAAUUGGAUUAAAGAUUCAUCGCUAAGGGAUGGGGAUGCGUCUGAUUAGGUUGUUGGCGGGGUAACGGCCCACCAAGCCGACGAUCAGUAGGGGUUCUGANAGGAAGGUCCCCCACAUUGGAACUGANACACGGUCCAAACUCCUACGGGAGGCAGCAGUGAGGAAUAUUGGUCAAUGGGCGAAANCCUGAACCAGCCAAGUUACGUGCANGAUGACNGNCCUAUGGGUUGUUAACUGCUUUUAUGCGGGAAUAAANUGAAGGACUUNUCCCUUUUUGUAGGUNCNCAUGAAU
Molecule: ribosomal RNA, 468 nt
Filed under: uncultured rumen bacterium 120pARRO
Lineage: Bacteria; Pseudomonadati; Bacteroidota
Description: partial 16S ribosomal RNA
Rfam family: Bacterial small subunit ribosomal RNA
Source: RNAcentral